RNAcentral lists this ribosomal RNA (520 nucleotides) under uncultured Glomus. RNAcentral's name for it is "SSU rRNA". It matches the Rfam family "Eukaryotic small subunit ribosomal RNA", at positions 569 to 1090 of the family's 1831-position model. The record is from RNAcentral. Lineage: Eukaryota; Fungi; Glomeromycota; Glomeromycetes; Glomerales; Glomeraceae.
AGCAGCCGCGGUAAUUCCAGCUCCAAUAGCGUAUAUUAAAGUUGUUGCAGUUAAAAAGCUCGUAGUUGAAUUUCGGGAUCAGCAGGUCGGUCGUGCCACUGGUAUGCACUGGCCUUGCUGAUUCCUCCCUCUUGAUGAGCCGUAAUGCCAUUAAUUUGGUGUUGCGGGGAAUCAGGACUGUUACUUUGAAAAAAUUAGAGUGUUUAAAGCAGGCAUGCGCUUGAAUACAUUAGCAUGGAAUAAUGAAAUAGGACGUUCGAUCCUAUUUUGUUGGUUUCUAGGAUUGACGUAAUGAUUAAUAGGGAUAGUUGGGGGCAUUAGUAUUCAAUUGUCAGAGGUGAAAUUCUUGGAUUUAUUGAAGACUAACUACUGCGAAAGCAUUUGCCAAGGAUGUUUUCAUUAAUCAAGAACGAAAGUUAGGGGAUCGAAGACGAUCAGAUACCGUCGUAGUCUUAACCAUAAACUAUGCCGACUAGGGAUCGGAUGAUGUUAAUUUUUUAAUGACUCAUUCGGCGCCUUA